AACGAUUACAUUUACAUUACGACGAUAAUAAGGGUGGUUGUGGGUCUGGUCUGGAUGUUUUCCAAGCAUAUUGGGAUUUGGCAGUUCGGCAGUCCGUUUAGUUAGUUGGUAGUGCGCGAAGGAAAAGGAACCGAAAACACACAGAAAUAAACAGCGGAGGAAAGCAAGUGUUGUCGAACAGGAAAAAAUUAGGUGUUGUUCUUAUCAAAUAUUGAAAAAAAAAACUGCAAUAAAAUAUUGUAUCAAGAGAAAAUACUUUUGUGUGUGUGUAGGUGUAAAUAAAAUUGAGAAAAAAGGAGCAUCCUAUUGGUUCCUGGAAGAAAACUAAUCCCAGUUCACAAUAAUUUUCUUAUUGGACUUUUUUUACACUUGCCCCUUUUUGGUUCCUGCUGGACUUUCUCAACUACCUCUGCCAAUGUAUGUGUGUAUGUAUAAGCAAAAAGACGAAAAAGAAGAACAAGCAUAGAAAAUAGUGAACCCAAAAUAGCCGCAAAAAAAAAAGAAACCAAAACCGCGUAACGCCAAAACUAGAAAACCACCCCCGAACCAAAAAAAAAAUCGAAAAAAACCGAAAUCACAAACGUUUCAAUGCAACUCCGCCUGCUCCUACUCCUUCACGUCCACCCUCUCGUUUCAUUGCAUUCAACUUCUGGAAACUUUUCGUCUGAAUGAUUAUCGUGUUGUUGUUAUUCUUCAAAUCCAUUUGCCUGUACUGUCAACGUCUGGUCCUGCACAUUCAUGACCGCUGGAUAAAUCCCAAAAACGUACGCCUCAUCAAAGAAGCCGCCGAAGCCAAAGGUUCCAAAUUCCUGUUGGACGACUAUCGUCAGACGCGCAAAGGCAAGCGACGGCGUCACGCCAGCGGUUCGAGCAAUAACUCCAGCAGCCACUUGUCACAGACACCCUCCACGUCCGCCUCCACGGUGCUAAGUUCGUUGGGGUCACGAGCUGAGAAUUGUCGUUUUUGUGCCAACACACCACAGGGCUAUUGUCGUCAUCACUUCCAUUUGCAGGAGCUGCAGGUACACAAACGCCAACAACAACAAUCGAUUUGGUGUCCUCUCGGUGGUGGUGGCCUGCUCACACGCAAUGUGGAGUACAAGCAAUUGAGGAAAAUCAAAAGGGAACUGAAAAGGACACUACAUCCGCAGCAACAGCAGCCACAUCAUCAUCAGCAGCCUAAUAUUCCAAGAUCCUCAAAUAUCUACCACUCAAUACCCCUGGACCCGGAGGACUCUGUCUAUGAGCACUCGGAGAGUCUAACCAAUUCUUCCUCACUACAGGAUUCGGGUUAUCAAAGUAUAGCCCUGACAAAUCAAAAUUCUUCACCCUCAACACCCCAACAACAAUUGUAUCAGGAAGUUGAGGAGAAGGAGCCGAGAGAAGAAGCUCUCCAAUUACCUGAAAUCUCCUCACAAUCAUCAAAAGAAUUUUUAGAUUUACCCACACCCAGCGAAUCCUUGGUGGAGACCACAUAUUCAUUUGGCUCGUGCCCGGAAACACCACGAACCCCAUCACCCACUCCCACGCUGCCAAGGGUAACAUCCAAUCAGAGUUUUGUGUCCUGCACCAGUUCAACACUUUCCACAAGCUAUUUGUGAGGGAAGCCAGAAGAAGGAGAGAGGUUGGCCAGCAGACAAAGAGUGGAACACAAAAGCUCUGCCAAAUCGAGGACAACGGCCUCCAUAUGGUCACCAACAAGCACCGAAGGAUACUUGAGGUAAAGAGUCUAACAACAGCAACAACAAUAGGGGGAGAAUAGACAACCAACCAGCCAGCCAGCCAGCUGGAGUGACAACAAACCUAGAUUUUCAAU
RNA transcript from Musca domestica (house fly), 1816 nucleotides. RefSeq lists it as uncharacterized. The record is from RefSeq and is a predicted model, not a curated record. The transcript is spliced from 3 exons. NCBI's taxonomy places the organism in Eukaryota, Metazoa, Arthropoda, Insecta, Diptera, Muscidae.